UAAUGCUUAGGAAUCUGCCUAUUAGUGGGGGACAACAUCUCGAAAGGGAUGCUAAUACCGCAUACGUCCUACGGGAGAAAGCAGGGGACCUUCGGGCCUUGCGCUAAUAGAUGAGCCUAAGUCGGAUUAGCUAGUUGGUGGGGUAAAGGCCUACCAAGGCGACGAUCUGUAGCGGGUCUGAGAGGAUGAUCCGCCACACUGGGACUGAGACACGGCCCAGACUCCUACGGGAGGCAGCAGUGGGGAAUAUUGGACAAUGGGGGGAACCCUGAUCCAGCCAUGCCGCGUGUGUGAAGAAGGCCUUUUGGUUGUAAAGCACUUUAAGCGAGGAGGAGGCUACCGAGAUUAAUACUCUUGGAUAGUGGACGUUACUCGCAGAAUAAGCACCGGCUAACUCUGUGCCAGCAGCCGCGGUAAUACAGAGGGUGCAAGCGUUAAUCGGAUUUACUGGGCGUAAAGCGCGCGUAGGUGGCCAAUUAAGUCAAAUGUGAAAUCCCCGAGCUUAACUUGGGAAUUGCAUUCGAUACUGGUUGGCUAGAGUAUGGGAGAGGAUGGUAGAAUUCCAGGUGUAGCGGUGAAAUGCGUAGAGAUCUGGAGGAAUACCGAUGGCGAAGGCAGCCAUCUGGCCUAAUACUGACACUGAGGUGCGAAAGCAUGGGGAGCAAACAGGAUUAGAUACCCUGGUAGUCCAUGCCGUAAACGAUGUCUACUAGCCGUUGGGGCCUUUGAGGCUUUAGUGGCGCAGCUAACGCGAUAAGUAGACCGCCUGGGGAGUACGGUCGCAAGA
RNAcentral lists this ribosomal RNA (787 nucleotides) under Salmonella enterica subsp. enterica serovar Oranienburg. RNAcentral describes it as "bacterial SSU rRNA". It matches the Rfam family "Bacterial small subunit ribosomal RNA", at positions 111 to 893 of the family's 1533-position model. Lineage: Bacteria; Pseudomonadati; Pseudomonadota; Gammaproteobacteria; Enterobacterales; Enterobacteriaceae. RNAcentral also lists the same sequence under 2 other names. The record is from RNAcentral.